Molecule: ribosomal RNA, 878 nt
Filed under: uncultured bacterium
Lineage: Bacteria
Description: bacterial SSU rRNA
Rfam family: Bacterial small subunit ribosomal RNA
Source: RNAcentral
AACGAACGCUGGCGGCGUGGAUUAGGCAUGCAAGUCGCGCGAGAAAGUAGUAGCAAUACUGCGAGUAAAGCGGCGAACUGGUGAGUAACAGGUGGGUAACGUGCCCUGAAGUGGGGGAUAACACCGGGAAACCGGUGCUAAUACCGCAUAUGACUUUUCUGACCCUGGUCUAAAAAGUUAAAGCAGCAGUGCGCUUCAGGAUCGGCCCGUCCCCGAUUAGCUUGUUGGUGAGGUAAAAGCUCACCAAGGCGACGAUCGGUAGCUGGUCUGAGAGGAUGGUCAGCCACACUGGGACUGAGAUACGGCCCAGACUCCUACGGGGGGCAGCAGUCUAGAGGCUUCGGCAAUGGGGGCAACCCUGACCGAGCGACGCCGCGUGUGGGAUUGAAGGCCUUCGGGUCGUAAACCACUGUCAUAGGGGAAGAAUGUCCGGAUGGCGAAUCCGGAAGAGACGGUACCUUAGAAGGAAGCCCCGGCUAACUCCGUGCCAGCAGCCGCGGUAAUACGGAGGGGGCAAGCGUUGUUCGGAUUUACUGGGCGUAAAGGGUGUGUAGGCGGCUGGGCAAGUCUGGUGUGAAAUCUUCAUCGCUCAACGGGAAGAAGUCACUGGAUACUGCCUAGCUCGAGUAUGGUAGAGGCGAGCGGAAUUCCAGGUGUAGCGGUGGAAUGUGUAGAUAUCUGGAAGAACACCGGUGGCGAAGGCGGCUCGCUGGGCCAUCACUGACGCUGAGACACGAAAGCGUGGGGAGCAAACGGGAUUAGAUACCCCGGUAGUCCACGCUGUAAACGGUGCGCACUAGGUGUGGGGGGUAUCGACCCCCCCUGUGCCGACGCAAACGCAUUAAGUGCGCCGCCUGGGGAGUACGGCCGCAAGGUUG